RNAcentral lists this ribosomal RNA (406 nucleotides) under uncultured bacterium. Its description in RNAcentral is "partial 16S ribosomal RNA". It matches the Rfam family "Bacterial small subunit ribosomal RNA", at positions 30 to 526 of the family's 1533-position model. The record is from RNAcentral.
AUUGAACGCUGGCGGCAGGCCUAACACAUGCAAGUCGAGCGAGCGGCGGACGGGUGAGUAAUGUCUGGGAAUCUGCCUGAUGGAGGGGGAUAACUCCUGGAAACGGUAGCUAAUACCGCAUACUAUCCGAUGAGCCCAGAUGGGAUUGGCUAGUAGGGGGGGUAACGGCUCACCUAGGCGACGAUCCUUAGCUGGUCUGAGUGGAUGAUCAGCCACACUGGGACUGAGACACGGUCCAGACUCCGACGGGAGGCAGCAGUGGGGAAUAUUGCACAAUGGGCGCAAGCCUGAUGCAGCCAUGCCGCGUGUAUGAAGAAGGCCUUCGGGUUGUAAAGUACUUUCAGUGGGGAGGCGUUACCCGCAGAAGAAGCACCGGCUAACUCCGUGCCAGCAGCCGCGGUAAUUC